Molecule: ribosomal RNA, 249 nt
Filed under: uncultured bacterium
Lineage: Bacteria
Description: partial 16S ribosomal RNA
Rfam family: Bacterial small subunit ribosomal RNA
Source: RNAcentral
CACGCCCUAAACGAUGUCAACUGGAUGUUGGAGGGGUUAAACCCUUUAGUGUCGUAGCUAACGCGAGAAGUUGACCGCCUGGGGAGUACGGCCGCAAGGCUAAAACUCAAAGGAAUUGACGGGGACCCGCACAAGCGGUGGAUGAUGUGGAUUAAUUCGAUGCAACGCGAAAAACCUUACCUACCCUUGACAUGUCAGGAAUCCUGGAGAGAUCUGGGAGUGCUCGAAAGAGAGCCUGAACACAGGUGC